Molecule: transfer RNA, 73 nt
Organism: Exidia glandulosa HHB12029
Lineage: Eukaryota; Fungi; Basidiomycota; Agaricomycetes; Auriculariales; Exidiaceae
Rfam family: tRNA
About the family: Transfer RNA (tRNA) molecules are approximately 80 nucleotides in length. Their secondary structure includes four short double-helical elements and three loops (D, anti-codon, and T loops).
Source: Rfam
GGGCGUAUAGCGCAGUUGGUAGCGCGCCUGUUUAGCAUACAGGAGGUCUCCGGUUCAAAUCCGGAUUCGUCCA